Molecule: ribosomal RNA, 914 nt
Filed under: Setomelanomma sp. 'turcica'
Lineage: Eukaryota; Fungi; Ascomycota; Dothideomycetes; Pleosporales; Phaeosphaeriaceae
Description: LSU rRNA
Rfam family: Eukaryotic large subunit ribosomal RNA
Source: RNAcentral
CUAAGCAUAUCAAUAAGCGGAGGAAAAGAAACCAACAGGGAUUGCCCUAGUAACGGCGAGUGAAGCGGCAACAGCUCAAAUUUGAAAAUCUGGCUCUUUCAGAGUCCGAGUUGUAAUUUGCAGAGGGCGCUUUGGCUUUGGCAGCGGUCCAAGUUCCUUGGAACAGGACGUCACAGAGGGUGAGAAUCCCGUACGUGGUCGCUAGCUAUUGCCGUGUAAAGCCCCUUCGACGAGUCGAGUUGUUUGGGAAUGCAGCUCUAAAUGGGAGGUAAAUUUCUUCUAAAGCUAAAUAUUGGCCAGAGACCGAUAGCGCACAAGUAGAGUGAUCGAAAGAUGAAAAGCACUUUGGAAAGAGAGUCAAACAGCACGUGAAAUUGUUGAAAGGGAAGCGCUUGCAGCCAGACUUGCUUGCAGUUGCUCAUCCGGGCUUUUGCCCGGUGCACUCUUCUGCAGGCAGGCCAGCAUCAGUUUGGGCGGUGGGAUAAAGGUCUCUGUCAUGUACCUCUCUUCGGGGAGGCCUUAUAGGGGAGGCGACAUACCACCAGCCUAGACUGAGGUCCGCGCAUCUGCUAGGAUGCUGGCGUAAUGGCUGUAAGCGGCCCGUCUUGAAACACGGACCAAGGAGUCUAACAUCUAUGCGAGUGUUUGGGUGUCAAGCCCGAGCGCGUAAUGAAAGUGAACGGAGGUGGGAACCCGCAAGGGUGCACCAUCGACCGAUCCUGAAGUUUACGGAAGGAUUUGAGUAAGAGCAUGGCUGUUGGGACCCGAAAGAUGGUGAACUAUGCUUGAAUAGGGUGAAGCCAGAGGAAACUCUGGUGGAGGCUCGCAGCGGUUCUGACGUGCAAAUCGAUCGUCAAAUUUGGGGCAUAGGGGCGAAAGACUAAUCGAACUAUCUAGUAGCUGGUUCCUGCCGA